GGAUCUAUGAUUGCUGUUGUGAUUGUUACUAAUCUGUUUUGUUUUUCUUUGUGUAGUCUGCAGGUUCGGAUCCAGAAUCCUCUAAGAAACAGUUCACCAAGAGAGAGCUGAACUUGCUUACCUAGCGUUGUUGAAACAAAGAAGGGGGAAGAUGUUGAGAAACAUUAAGUUUGCCCUGCCCCGUGGCUCCCUUGUGGAGAAUACCUUUUAGUUUGCAAUUAGUGACACAUCAAAACCUCUCAGAUGAGCCACCUAGGAAGACAAAUAGGAAGAAAAUGAGGAUAUCGAAAUCGUAACACAUCUAAAGAAAGACUGUGGGGGAAAAGAGGGGAUGCAAGUAGUUGAUAUUGAAAAAUGAAAGCCACAGGUUGAGAACUAGUCAAUGUGUCAUUAAGCACUGCAAGGAAAGAGGCUAGACUGACCAGCUGUCAGAAGUACUUGGGCCUGCUGGGCAGAUACAUUCUUCUGGUAAAGACAGCUACUUCUGGCUUGCAUCAUUCCCCAUUCUCUGAUUUCAUCUUCCUUGAGCACCCUUCAGAUUUGCAUUCCUCAAAGCAUGUUAACAUGUUUUCAGCGUUGACUAUGUUUUACGUAUAGUAUUUAAUUUUACAGCAAUCCCAGGAGUUGUUUCCCCUAUUUUACAGCUGAGAAAAAAUAGCCAUUUCCUUUUUCUUUUCUUUAUUUUUUUUUCGUUUUUUGAGACAGAGUCUCACUCUGUCACCCAAGCUAGAAUGCAGCGGCAUGAUCAGGGCUUUCUGCAGCCUCGACUUCCUAGGCUUAUGUGAUCCUUUCACCUCAGCCUCCCAAGAAGCUGGGACUACAGGCAUUUACCACCAUGCCCAGAUAAUUUUUUUUUUUUAAUUUCUGUAGAGACAGAGUUUCACCAUGUUAUUCAGGAUGGUCCCAAACUCCUGGAAUCAAGCAAUCCUCCUGUCUUAGCAUCCCAAAGUCCUGGGAUUUACAGGUAUGAGCCACUGCAUCUGGCCAUAGCUAGUCAUUUCUGCCAGGAGCUGCCACUCUGGCCUCCAAAUAUCCACAGCACUUCUCUUCCCACACAUACAAAACACCACAUCCUUAUCUAAGUGAAGGAUCUCCAUCUGAUGCUUGUUGUCACCAUCAUAUUUAAAUGUAGAUCCACAUAGUACAGCAACCUAGGAAUCAAAAGUCAACAUAUCUAGCCACCCAUGACACACCUGUUAAAUAAACUGUAGCCUAGAGCUGCCUCCUUACCUACUUUAAGUUCAGCCUAAAGGUUUCUCUGUAUAUAGUGAAUGCUAACCUAGCUGGAUGUGUAAAUAGAUUAUAAUCUAUUCUUAUACCAAACAUCAUGUUUUGGCCAAUCAAAGGCAACCAACUGUUCAAACCAUAUUCACAUGAGACAAACACCCAGCUGGAAGCAAUCCAGCUGUUUCUGUAUCUCACUUCCGUUUUCUGUAUGUCAUUUUCUUCUUUUUUCUUUCCAUGAAUCCUCUCCAACCACACAGCAGUGCCAGCAGUGUAUCUAUUCUGGUUUAGGGGAACUGCCCGAUUUGCAAAUGGUUCUUUGCUUAAUGAAACCACAAAUUUGUGUAAAGUUUUUCUUUUAACACAACCAAUAUACACUGAUGGAUCAGGGACAAAGUAAAGAUACCACAAGUAAGCUUCCCAUUUGGAAAGAGACUGAUGGGAAGCUCGGAGGUCCUGAUCUACAGAAGUGACAAAAUGUUGUAAAGCAGGCAUGGUGAAGACCUCCUACCCAAGGUCACAUGGCUACAUUGAUUUGUUCAGUCUUAAAAUUGGAUAAAGCUUCCACUCCUCCACAUUGUGUAAAGCAAGUUAGUAGGCUGAUCAGCUGAUUUUUAUUGUGUUAUUAAAUAACUGGCUUUCUAAUACAUUACAAGCCUUGUAAAAAAUUUCUUAUUCACCACUGUAUCCCAAGUGAUUAACAAAGUGUCUGGCACAUAGGUUAUAUCCAAUAAAUAUUUAUUGAAUGAAUAACAUAACCAUUAUAGUCCACUUGGCCAUUACAUUUUUCAGUGUAAAUUAGAAAGCAGAAAUUUUGAGUUCCAUAUCAGUCUUCAUUGACUUUGCUCAGGGUGAAUCAUCCCUCUGGAAGCAGAGUUGCUAGCCUGAGUUUUUAAACUUACAAAGUUGAGAUCUAGUAUAUUGGACAGUCGAUGCCUUGUUUUUUUUUUUUUUUUUAAAUAAUGCCUACAUCAGCAAAA
Sapajus apella (tufted capuchin) is the source of this 2204-nucleotide long non-coding RNA. RefSeq lists it as uncharacterized. The transcript has 2 exons. The record is from RefSeq and is a predicted model, not a curated record. Lineage: Eukaryota; Metazoa; Chordata; Mammalia; Primates; Cebidae.